CCUACGGGAGACAGCAGUGGGGAAUAUUGGGCAAUGGGCGCAAGCCUGACCCAGCAACGCCGCGUGAAGGAAGAAGGCUUUCGGGUUGUAAACUUCUUUUCUGAGGGACGAAGAAAGUGACGGUACCACAGGAAUAAGCAACGGCUAACUACGGGCCAGCAGCCGCGGUAAGACGUAGGUGGCAAGCGUUAUCCGGAUUUAUGCGGUGUAAAGGGCGGGGAGGCGGGAAAGCCAGUCAGAUGGGAAAACUCAGGGCUCAACCCUGAGCCUGCCUUUGAAACUGUUUUUCUUGAGUGCUGGGGAGGCAAUCGGAAUUCCGUGUGUAGCGGUGAAAUGCGUAGAUAUCCGGAGGAACACCAGUGGCGAAGGCGGCUUGCUGGACCGUACCUGACGCUGAGGCGCGAAAGCGUGGGGAGCAAACAGGAUUAGAUACCCCAGUAGUC
This 443-nucleotide ribosomal RNA is filed under the name uncultured bacterium. Its description in RNAcentral is "partial 16S ribosomal RNA". It matches the Rfam family "Bacterial small subunit ribosomal RNA", at positions 338 to 795 of the family's 1533-position model. The record is from RNAcentral.